This 253-nucleotide ribosomal RNA is filed under the name uncultured bacterium. RNAcentral describes it as "partial 16S ribosomal RNA". It matches the Rfam family "Bacterial small subunit ribosomal RNA", at positions 524 to 776 of the family's 1533-position model. The record is from RNAcentral.
UACGUAGGGUGCGAGCGUUAAUCGGAAUUACUGGGCGUAAAGCGUGCGCAGGCGGUUUUGUAAGCCAGAUGUGAAAGCCCCGGGCUUAACCUGGGAAUGGCAUUUGGGACUGCAAGGCUUGAGUGCGGCAGAGGAGACUGGAAUUCCUGGUGUAGCAGUGAAAUGCGUAGAUAUCAGGAGGAAUACCGAUGGCGAAGGCAGGUCUCUGGGCUGACACUGACGCUCAUGCACGAAAGCGUGGGGAUCAAACAGG